This 2115-nucleotide long non-coding RNA is filed under the name Homo sapiens (human). RNAcentral describes it as "HSALNT0242189". The record is from RNAcentral. Lineage: Eukaryota; Metazoa; Chordata; Mammalia; Primates; Hominidae.
AAAAGGGAGAUUACCUUGGGUGGGCCUGAUGUAAUCAAGUGAAAGCUCUUAAAAGAGGGACUGAGGCCCUCCCUGAGGUCAGAGAGAGCCUCCUGCUGGCCUUGAAGAUGUGUCCUGCCCUGCACUGAGGGGGCCUGGGUGAGGGCCAGUGGCAGGGACUGUGGGCGGCCUCUGGAGCUGAGAGCAGCCACUGGCUGCCGGUUGGAAAACCGGAACCUCAGCCCUAGGGCCGCAAGAACUGAAGGCUGCCAACAACCGUGUGACCUUGGAAGAGGCCCAUGAGGAAAGGUAGCCCAGCCGACACCUGGACUGUGAGACCCUGGGUAGAGGACCUGCACCCAGGCUCCUGGCCCGCGAAACCUCUGAGGUGGUAAAUGUGUGUUGUUUUAAGCUGCUGAAUGUGUGGUAACAGAGACAGCAACAGGUACAGGCCCCCUCCUGGGUGUGGAUAAUUUGGAAUCAGUUAAAAGGGAGUCUUGAUGCGUGGAUUUGGGUCCCCAAACUGCCACCUCCUUUGGCUCUUUCCUGACCCUGAAGAGAACCUGACCCGGAUGUACCAAGACCUUGCCGGAAGCCUCUAGCCAGAGCAGCUGGCCCUGGACUCCCACUGGGACACUGACUGGGAGAUUCUUAGAGCACUGAACGAUUGGCCCUCCACCUUCCCAGCGGCUCUUUGGGAAAAGAUGCCCAUUGCAUGAAGCGGGGCCUCUCAAGGAGGAGCCCCAGGUCACCUGUUGCAACAGAAUCGCCUGGGAGCUCCAAGGCCCAGCCCCAACCCAUACCCAAUGAGUCUGAAUCUCCAGGAGGUGCCCAGACAUCUGCACAUCCAGCAGGUUCCCAGCUUCACAUUGUAAGGCUCCACCUCUUUCCACCCCCAGGAUCUUCAGGGGCACAGUAAAGUGUCCACCAUGAGCUGCCUUCACCCCAGCCCUUGGGACCAUGUGGGGACCGGGUGGGAACUCUGGGCUCCUGUGACACUCAGACCAAGCCCCUCACAUUGCAGGGGCCCUGCUCAGCAUCCUGGAGGGGAGCAACCCUUCUGGGACCAGGAAAACCCAAUUUUGUCCUCCAUUUCUGUUCCUCCUGGGGGCUGUGAACCUCAGGCAGGGUCCCUCGGUCUGGGUCCCGUAUGAACUCCUCUUCACCUUUCUGGCCAGGUUAUCAGAAUGGGCAGGGUUGUAAGUGGUUCAGAGUUUGAGCUCUGGGGUCAGGCGGAGCCGAGUUCAGCCUUGGCACAUUCCCCUGCACCAGCCCGUGCCCUGGGGUGAACCCCUGGGCUCCCUUGGCCUCUUCUCAGCUCCUCACUGUGUCCCACCCCUCUGCCAUCUCCUCUUCUCCCCUCCAGCUAUGGGACGAUCUGUCCCGAGUUCACUUUCUUCUUUUCUAUUUCCUACUCCCAUGUCCCCAAACACAUCCCGCCCUACAGUUCCCCACCUCCAGGCCCUGCACGGGCCCUUUGCUCUGUUUGGCAUGCUCCUGCCCUCCUGCAUCCUGGCAGUCUAAACUUUAAGUGAGACCUGCAUGGAGCAGGGAGACUGGCCAGAAGUCUUAAUUAACUUCAAAAUUUAAAGCUGGAAGAGAGGGAUAUGAUUUGGCUCUGUGUCCCCACCCAAAUCUGAUGUCGAAUUGUAAUUCCCAAUGUUGGGGGAGGGACCUGGUGGGAGGUGAUUGGAUCGUGGGGGCAGAUUCCCCCCCUUCGUGUUCUUGUGAUAGUGAGUGAGUUCUCAUGAGAUCUGUUUGCUUAAAAGUGUGUAGCAUCUCCCCCUUUGCUCUCUCUCUCCUGCUGCUAUGUGAAGAUGUGGUUGCUUCCCCUUCACCUACCACCAUGGUUAUGUUUCCUGAGGCCUCCCAGCCAUGCUUCCUGCAUAGCCUGUGGAACUGUGAGUCAAUUAAAUCUGUUUUCUUCAUAAAUUACCCAGCCUCAGGUAGUUCUUUAUGGUAGUGUGAGAACAGACUAACACAGAGAGUUUUAAAUUCUUUAGUUGUAGGCCUUUGCCCAGGAUGGAGUAGCAGGGACUGUAUUUCCUUCCCCUUCAAAACUUUCAGACAGCUGGAGAGGAUAUAUGGAACAUCAGUUUCAAGGUACUGGACAUCAGGCAAUGAAGGAAAGAAAUU